Molecule: unclassified non-coding RNA, 240 nt
Filed under: soil metagenome
Description: partial contains 5.8S ribosomal RNA, internal transcribed spacer 2, and large subunit ribosomal RNA
Source: RNAcentral
AACAAGGCGUACCUGCGGACCUGCGGAAGGAUCAUUACUGAGUGAUAGAGGGGUUUCCGGUAAACUUCUUCUUCGGAAGGGGGCUUAUAGGUUUCCUCUUUCCUUCUCUUCACCCUUUGUUAUUGUCUUAUGAGUUGCUUUGGUAGGCGGAAGUCAUUCUUUCUACCAAGGGAUCUUAUUUUCAAACCCUUUUAUCCAAUAAUUAGGAUGUCUUUUGUCUGAUUAUAACUUUUGAAUAAG